UUGAAACACCCAUUCCCAUACAAUCAUCAAAGUUAAGCAACAUCAAGCCUGGUCAGUAUUUAGAUUGCUGACCGCUCGGGAAUACCAGGUGUUGUAAG
Non-coding RNA from Acanthosepion pharaonis, 98 nucleotides. Lineage: Eukaryota; Metazoa; Mollusca; Cephalopoda; Sepiida; Sepiidae. The record is from the annotation of a GenBank genome assembly.